RNAcentral lists this ribosomal RNA (477 nucleotides) under uncultured Derxia sp. Its description in RNAcentral is "bacterial SSU rRNA". It matches the Rfam family "Bacterial small subunit ribosomal RNA", at positions 8 to 481 of the family's 1533-position model. The record is from RNAcentral. Lineage: Bacteria; Pseudomonadati; Pseudomonadota; Betaproteobacteria; Burkholderiales; Alcaligenaceae.
AGAGUUUGAUCCUGGCUCAGAUUGAACGCUGGCGGCAUGCCUUACACAUGCAAGUCGAGCGGCAGCGCGGGGGCAACCCUGGUGGCGAGCGGCGGACGGGUGAGUAAUACAUCGGAACGUGUCCUUUUGUGGGGGAUAACCAGUCGAAAGACUGGCUAAUACCGCAUGAGAUCUCACGAUGAAAGCGAGGGACCGCAAGGCCUCGCGCGAUUGGAGCGGCCGAUGUCGGAUUAGCUAGUUGGCGGGGUAAAAGCCCACCAAGGCAACGAUCCGUAGCUGGUUUGAGAGAACGACCAGCCACACUGGGACUGAGACACGGCCCAGACUCCUACGGGAGGCAGCAGUGGGGAAUUUUGGACAAUGGGGGCAACCCUGAUCCAGCCAUGCCGCGUGUGUGAAGAAGGCCUUCGGGUUGUAAAGCACUUUCGGCCGGAACGAAAUCGCCUGCGUUAAUAGCGUAGGUGGAUGACGUACCGA